This 274-nucleotide ribosomal RNA is filed under the name uncultured bacterium. Its description in RNAcentral is "partial 16S ribosomal RNA". It matches the Rfam family "Bacterial small subunit ribosomal RNA", at positions 523 to 796 of the family's 1533-position model. The record is from RNAcentral.
AUACGGAGGGUGCAAGCGUUACUCGGAAUCACUGGGCGUAAAGCGCGCGCAGGCGGUCUUUUAAGUUGGAUGUGAAAGCCUACGGCUCAACCGUAGAACUGCAUCCAAAACUAUUAGACUAGAGUGUGGGAGAGGAAGAUGGAAUUAGUUGUGUAGGGGUAAAAUCCGUAGAGAUAACUAGGAAUACCAAAAGCGAAGGCAAUCCUCUGGAACACUACUGACGCUGAGGCGCGAAAGCGUGGGGAGCAAACAGGAUUAGAAACCCCAGUAGUCC